RNAcentral lists this transfer RNA (36 nucleotides) under Iris lutescens. RNAcentral describes it as "partial tRNA-Asp". The record is from RNAcentral. Lineage: Eukaryota; Viridiplantae; Streptophyta; Magnoliopsida; Asparagales; Iridaceae.
AGGCGGGAGCUGCAGGUUCGAGCCCCGUCAGUCCCG